RNAcentral lists this long non-coding RNA (317 nucleotides) under Elaeis guineensis (African oil palm). RNAcentral describes it as "long non-coding RNA (EGUI_LNC052723)". The record is from RNAcentral. Lineage: Eukaryota; Viridiplantae; Streptophyta; Magnoliopsida; Arecales; Arecaceae.
AUAGUAGGAUCUCCCAUCCUCUCAAAAGGUACUUAGGUAUGCUUAACAAAAGAUGUGGAGAAAGUCAUUUCUCAUAGAAAAUGGAGAACAUAGAUAUGAUCCCAAAAUCUACUACGAGACGAUGUUUAACAUUGACUCCAAAAAAGGGACGUGAAUUAGCUUUUCUGAUUGGAUAUUUUUUGAAGAUUUCUAUAUGGGGUAGCUUAUUUGAUAGGAGAUCACAAUGUCCGUGAUAAUUCUGGAGUUAGAAUAUUGAUAUGAUCAAAUUGUUUGAUCCAAAAUGAAGAAUUAUAUAUUUGCAAAAGGGUCAGUGGGAG